Molecule: ribosomal RNA, 460 nt
Filed under: uncultured bacterium
Lineage: Bacteria
Description: partial 16S ribosomal RNA
Rfam family: Bacterial small subunit ribosomal RNA
Source: RNAcentral
CCUACGGGGGGCAGCAGUGAGGAAUAUUGGUCAAUGGGCUUACGCCUGAACCAGCCAAGUCGCGUGAGGGAAGACUGCCCUAUGGGUUGUAAACCUCUUUUGUCAGGGAGCAACGCCGGCUACGUGUAGCCGUACUUAGAGUACCUGCAGAAAAAGCAUCGGCUAACUCCGUGCCAGCAGCCGCGGUAAUACGGAGGAUGCGAGCGUUAUCCGGAUUUAUUGGGUUUAAGGGGUGCGUAGGCGGACUGUCAAGUCAGCGGUAAAAUCGCGGGGCUCAACCUCGCUCCGCCGUUGAAACUGGCGGUCUGGAGUGGGCGAGAAGUAUGCGGAAUGCGUGGUGUAGCGGUGAAAUGCAUAGAUAUCACGCAGAACUCCGAUUGCGAAGGCAGCAUACCGGCGCCCAACUGACGCUGAAGCACGAAAGCGUGGGUAUCGAACAGGAUUAGAUACCCGUGUAGUC